UUUAUUAUCAAGUUGUACGUUAAUUCAGGUCUGAUCAUAUAGGUAUACAUUAUUUUCUAGAACUGUUUAGUUUCAGAUGCAAGUUUACCAUCAAUUCACCAUAUGCCAUACAGAGUUUGUUUCAUCAACAGAUAAAAACAACCAAAGCAAAUCACCAUUUAACAUCAAACUUUUGUGCCAGAUUGCAUGAAAUUAUAAUUAUGUAAAGUAACCUCUUUUUGUGCCCUCCACCCCCCCUCCCAAUGAGUGGUGGGGGCAUAUAGAUUUGGUCUUGUCCAUCCAUUUGUCUGUUCGUCUGUGCGUCCAAAGUUAGUAACACGCCUAGUUCAAAAAGUAUUUGAUAUAGAUUGAUGAAACCUUGCAUGAGUCUUUAUCAUGAUAUAAACUUGGGCACCUCCUAUUUUUCGUCUGGCUCCACCCCCUAUUUUUAGCUCACCUGAGCACAAAGUGUUAACACUGUAGAGGCCAGAUUUAUGACUGUAUCUUCAUGAAACUUGGUCAGAAUGUUAAUCUUAAUGAUCUGUAGGUCAAGUUCAAAUCUGGGUCAGGUGAAUUCAAAAAUUAGUUCACUAGGUCAAAUCAAAGGAAAAGCGUGUUAACUCCGUAGAGGCCACAUUUAUGACUAUAUCUUCAUGAAACUUGGUCAGAAUGUUAAUCUUAAUGAUCUCAAGGUCUAGUUUGAAUCUGGGUCAUGUAGGAUCAAAACCUAGGUCACCAGGUCAAAUCAAAGGAAAAGCUAGUUUACACUGUAGAGGCCACAUUUAUGACCAUAUCUUAAUGAAACUUGGUCUGUAUGUUAAUCUUGAUUAUUAUAGGUCAAGUUCAAAUCUGUGUCAGGUGGGGUCAAAAACUAGGCCAAUAGGUCAAAUCAAAGAAAAAGCUUGUUAACACUUUAGAUGCCACAUUUAUGACUGUAUCUUCAUGAAACUUAGUCAGAAUGUUGAUCUUGAUGAUCUUAAGGUCAAGUUUGAAUCUGGGUCAUGUAGGGUCAAAAAUUAGGUCACCGGGUCAAAUCAAAGGAAAAGCUUUUUAACACUUUAGAGGCCACAAUUAUGACCAUAUCUUAAUGAAAUUUGGUCAGAAUGUUAAUCUUUAUGAUCUUUAGGCCAAUAGGUCAGGUGAGCGAUACAGGACCUUCAUGGCCCUCUUGUUUAGAGUUAUGGCCCCUGAAUUACUCAAAAAUGCACAUUUCACCUUGUGACAUGCCUAGCUCAAAAAGUGUUUGAUAUAGAAUCAUGAAACCUUGCAUGAGUCUUUAUCAUGAUAUGAACUUGUACACCUCCUAUUUUUCGAGUUAUGGCCCCUGAAUUACUCAAAAAUGCACAUUUUCACCUUUUCAUGAAACCUUGCAUGAGUCUUUAUUAUGCCCCCUUUCGAAGGAGGAGGGGUAUAUUGUUUUGCAGAUGUCGGUUGGUCGGUCGGUCGGAAUGUAGACCAAUUUGUUUCCAGACGAUAACUCAAGAACUCUUGGGCCUAGGAUCAUGAAAGUUGAUAGGGAGGUUGGUCAUCACCAGCAGAUGACCCUAUUGAUUUUGCGGUCUGUAUGUCAAAGGUCAAGGUCACAGUGACCCUGAAUAGUAAAACGGUUUCCGGAUGAUAACUCAAGAACACUUGGGCCUAGGAUCAUGAAUGUUGAUAGGGAGGUUGGUCAUGACCAGCAGAUGACCCCUAUUGAUCUUGAGGUCAGUAUGUUAAAGGUCGAGGUCACAGUGACCCAGAACAGUUAAACGGUUUCCGGAUGAUAACUUAAGAACGUUUAGGCCUAGGGUCACAAAAGUUGAUUGAGAUUGGUCAUGACCAGCAGAUGACCCUUUUUGAUUUUGAUGUCAGUAUGUCAAAGGUCAAGGUCAUAGUGACCAGGAACAGUAAAAUGGUUUCCGGGCAAUAACUCAAGAACGCUUGGGCCGAGUGUCAGGAAAAUUGAUAGUUAGGUUGGCCAUGACCAGCAGAUGACCCCUAUUGAUUUUGAGGUCAUUAUGUCAAAGGUCAAGGUCACAUUGGCCAGGAACAGUUAAACGGUUUCUGAUCUUCUUGUCCAAAACCAUAGGGCCUAGGGCUUUGAUAUUUGGUAUGUAGCACAAUCUAGUGGUCCUCUACAAAGAUUGUUCAGAUUAUUUCCCUGGGGUCAAAUAUUGCCCCACCCCGGGGGUCACAUGGUUUAUAUAGACUUAUAUAGGAAAAUUUUUUGAAAAACCUCUUGUCCAAAACCACAGGACCUAGGGCUUUGAUAUUUUAUAUAUGACAUCAUCUAGUGGUCCUCUACUAAGAUUGUUCAAAUUAUUCCCCUAGGGUCAAAUAUGGCUCCGCCCUGGGGGUCACAUGGUUUACAUAGACUUAUAUAGUGAAAAACUUUGAAAAUCUACUUGUCCAAACCACAAAGACUAUGGCUUUGAUAUUUUGUAAUCUAGCAUCAUCUAGUGGUUCUCUACCAAGUUUGUUCAAAUUAUCCCUCUAGGAUCAAAUAUGGCCCCACCCCAGGGGUCACAUGGUUCAUAUAGACUUACGUAGGGAAAAACUUAGAAUCUCCAUGUCCAUAACUUACGGUACAUCAUUGUACCCCCCGACAACAAAGUUGUAAGGGGGGGGUAUACUGGUUUCAGGUUGUCUGUCUGUCUGUCCGUCUGGCCGUCUGUCCGUAGACGCAAUCUUGUGCGCACCAUCUCUCCUUAUCCCCUUGACAGAAUUUAAUGAAACUUCACACAAGUAAUCAGUACCAACAGUAGUUGUGCAUGGGGCAUGUUAGGUUCUUUUAGAAAAAAAAUUUGCAGAGUUAUGGGACUUUGUUUUUUUUGCUACUAUACUAUAUACAUAGACACAAUCUUGUGCGCACCAUCUCUCCUCAUCCCCUUGACACAAUUUAAUGAAACUUCACACAAGUGAUCAGUACCAACAGUAGUUGUGAAUGGGGCAUGUUAGGUUCUUUCAGAAAAAAGAUUUGCAGGGUUAUGGGACUUUGUUUUUUUGUUACUAUACUAUAUACAUAGACACAAUCUUGUGCGCACCAUCUCUCCUCAUCCCCUUGACACAAUUUAAUGAAACUUCACACAAGUGAUCAGUAACAACAGUAGUUGUGCAUGGGGCAUGUUAGGUUCUUUCAGAAAUUUUUUUUGCAGAGUUAUGGGACUUUGUUUUUUUGUUACUAUACUAUAUACAUAGACACAAUCUUGUGCGCACCAUCUCUCCUCAUCCCCUUGACACAAUUUAAUGAAACUUCACACAAGUAAUCAGUAACAACAGUAGUUGUGCAUGGGGCAUGUUAGGUUCUUUCAGCGACAAGCAUUGCAGAGUUAUGGGACUUUGUUUCUUGUUAACAUACUAUGUACAUACAGUCUGCAUAUGCAAUCUUGUGCAUGCCUAAUCUACCAAACCCUUGCACACAAUUUAAUGAAACUUCACACAAGUGGUCAGUACAAACCCUAGUUGUGCAUGGUGCAUGUUACAUUCUUUUAGAUAAAUAUUCUGCAUAGUUAUGGGACUUUGUUUUUAGCUCACCUGAGCAAUGCUCAGGUGAGUUUUUCUGAUCGCUCGAUGUCCGGCGUCUGUCGUCCGUCGUCUGUCGUCUGUCGUCUGUCGUCUGUCGUCCGUCGUCUGUCAACAUUUAGCUUGUGUAUGCGAUAGAGGCUGUAUUUUUCAAUUAAUCUUCAUGAAUAUUGGUCAGAAUGAUAACCUUGAUGAAAUCUAGGCCGAGUUCGAAAAUGGGUCAUCUCGGGUCAAAAACUAGGUCACUAGGUCAAAUCAAAGAAAAACCUUGUGUAUGCGAUAGAGGCGGUAUUUUUCAAUUGAUCUUCAUGAAUUUUGGUCAGAAUGAUAACCUUGAUGAAAUCUAGGCCGAGUUCGAAAAUGGGUCAUCUGGGGUCAAAAACUAGGUCACUAGGUCAUAUCAUGUAAAAACCUUGUGUAUGCGAUAGAGGCUGUAUUUUUCAAUUGAUCUUCAUGAAUUUUGGUCAUAAUGAUUACCUUGAUGAAAUUUAGACCAAGUU
Molecule: long non-coding RNA, 3980 nt
Organism: Mercenaria mercenaria
Lineage: Eukaryota; Metazoa; Mollusca; Bivalvia; Venerida; Veneridae
Exons: 3
Source: RefSeq, a predicted model, not a curated record